AUUGAACGCUGGCGGCAUGCCUUACGCAUGCAAGUCGAACGGUAACAGGUCUUCGGAUGCUGACGAGUGGCGAACGGGUGAGUAAUACAUCGGAACGUGCCUAGUAGUGGGGGAUAACUACUCGAAAGAGUGGCUAAUACCGCAUGAGAUCUACGGAUGAAAGCAGGGGAUCGCAAGACCUUGUGCUACUAGAGCGGCCGAUGGCAGAUUAGGUAGUUGGUGGGGUAAAGGCUCACCAAGCCGACGAUCUGUAGCUGGUCUGAGAGGACGACCAGCCACACUGGGACUGAGACACGGCCCAGACUCCUACGGGAGGCAGCAGUGGGGAAUUUUGGACAAUGGGCGCAAGCCUGAUCCAGCAAUGCCGCGUGCAGGAAGAAGGCCUUCGGGUUGUAAACUGCUUUUAGUAAGGAAGAAGGGGAGCUUGCUCCUUGACGGUACUUGCAGAAAAAGGACCGGCUAACUACGUGCCAGCAGCCGCCGUAA
RNAcentral lists this ribosomal RNA (486 nucleotides) under uncultured bacterium. RNAcentral describes it as "partial 16S ribosomal RNA". It matches the Rfam family "Bacterial small subunit ribosomal RNA", at positions 30 to 523 of the family's 1533-position model. The record is from RNAcentral.